AGUGAACGCUGGCGGUAGGCCUAACACAUGCAAGUCGAACGGUAGCACAGUAAGAGCUUGCUCUUACGGGUGGCGAGUGGCGGACGGGUGAGGAAUACAUCGGAAUCUACUUUUUCGUGGGGGAUAACGUAGGGAAACUUACGCUAAUACCGCAUACGACCUACGGGUGAAAGCAGGGGAUCUUCGGACCUUGCGCGAUUGAAUGAGCCGAUGUCGGAUUUGCUAGUUGGCGGGGUAAAGGCCCACCAAGGCGACGAUCCGUAGCUGGUCUGAGAGGAUGAUCAGCCACACUGGAACUGAGACACGGUCCAGACUCCUACGGGAGGCAGCAGUGGGGAAUAUUGGACAAUGGGCGCAAGCCUGAUCCAGCCAUACCGCGUGGGUGAAGAAGGCCUUCGGGUUGUAAAGCCCUUUUGUUGGGAAAGAAAAGCAGCAGGUUAAUACCCCGCUGUUCUGACGGUACCCAAAGAAUAAGCACCGGCUAACUUCGUG
This 492-nucleotide ribosomal RNA is filed under the name uncultured bacterium. Its description in RNAcentral is "partial 16S ribosomal RNA". It matches the Rfam family "Bacterial small subunit ribosomal RNA", at positions 29 to 507 of the family's 1533-position model. The record is from RNAcentral.